CCUACGGGAGGCUGCAGUGGGGAAUAUUGGACAAUGGGGGGAACCCUGAUCCAGCCAUGCCGCGUGUGUGAAGAAGGCCCUCGGGUUGUAAAGCACUUUCAGUGAGGAAGAACGCCUGGUGGUUAAUACCCAUCAGGAAAGACAUCACUCACAGAAGAAGCACCGGCUAACUCCGUGCCAGCAGCCGCGGUAAUACGGAGGGUGCGAGCGUUAAUCGGAAUUACUGGGCGUAAAGCGCGCGUAGGUGGCUUGAUAAGCCGGUUGUGAAAGCCCCGGGCUCAACCUGGGAACGGCAUCCGGAACUGUCAAGCUAGAGUGCAGGAGAGGAAGGUAGAAUUCCCGGUGUAGCGGUGAAAUGCGUAGAGAUCGGGAGGAAUACCAGUGGCGAAGGCGGCCUUCUGGACUGACGCUGACACUGAGGUGCGAAAGCGUGGGUAGCAAACAGGAUUAGAUACCCGUGUAGUC
RNAcentral lists this ribosomal RNA (465 nucleotides) under Vreelandella stevensii. RNAcentral describes it as "partial 16S ribosomal RNA". It matches the Rfam family "Bacterial small subunit ribosomal RNA", at positions 338 to 795 of the family's 1533-position model. Lineage: Bacteria; Pseudomonadati; Pseudomonadota; Gammaproteobacteria; Oceanospirillales; Halomonadaceae. The record is from RNAcentral.